CCUACGGGAGGCAGCAGUAGGGAAUCCUCCACAAUGGGCGAAAGCCUGAUGGAGCAACGCCGCGUGAGUGAAGAAGGUUUUCGGAUCGUAAAACUCUGUUGUAAGGGAAGAACAAGUACAGUAGUAACUGGCUGUACCUUGACGGUACCUUAUUAGAAAGCCACGGCUAACUACGUGCCAGCAGCCGCGGUAAU
Molecule: ribosomal RNA, 194 nt
Filed under: uncultured Lysinibacillus sp.
Lineage: Bacteria; Bacillati; Bacillota; Bacilli; Caryophanales; Bacillaceae
Description: partial 16S ribosomal RNA
Rfam family: Bacterial small subunit ribosomal RNA
Source: RNAcentral